AUGCCAUACACACAGACACAGAACACAAUGAGCCCCCUCGCCGUGGUCGUGACAUCCCUCGCCGUCGUGCUGCUGGCGCGGUGCGCAGCGGCGUAUCCGUGGCAGGUGUGCGGCACGGCAGCCAACUUCACGGCCAACAGCACGUACCAGGCCAACCUCGGCCUCCUCGCCGCGGCGCUGCCCAGGAACAUCUCCUCCUCCCCGGACCUCUUCGCCACCGCUGUGGUCGGCGCCGCCCCGGACCAGGUCUCGGCGCUCGCGCUCUGCCGGGGCGACGCCAACGCCACGGCCUGCUCCGGCUGCCUCGCCAUGGCCUUCCAGGACGUGCAGAACCAGUGCGCCUACGACAAGGACGCCGCCAUCUACUACGACCCCUGCGCCCUCUACUACUCCUCCAACGCCACCUCCCUCUCCUCCUUGGACAACGUCGGGAGGACGAACCGCAUCAACAACCAGAACGUCACGUCCGACCCCGGGCGGUUCAACCGCCAGGUGGCCGCGCUCGUGAACGCCACCGCCGACCACGCGGCGUACAACUCCACGCGCCGGUACGCGUCCGGGGAGGCCGACCUCGGCGGCCAGUUCCCCAGGGUGUACAGCUGGGCGCAGUGCACGCCGGACCUCACGCCGGCGCGGUGCCGUGGUUGCCUCGCCGGACUCAUUGCCGGAAUGCCGAGGCGGUUCACCGACCGCGUCGGAGGGAGAUCUCUUGGGGUCAGGUGCAGCUACCGGUACGAGACGUACUCCUUCCUCGACGGCCCGGUGAUGGUCAGGCUGGCCGCGCCGCCGAGCUCGGCCGCGCCUGCGCCUGCAGUUGGGCCCACGGUUCCGACUCCAGGGGCGGUCGCCGGAGAAAGGAAGUUCAUCGUUACUGCCACGGUCCUUGUCAUUGUGCUGCCUACUAUCGCAGCUCUGGUGAUAAUCAACCUUCUUGUUUGGCUCUGUAUCUGGAGGAGGAUGAGGAGACCACAAGCAGGAGCAACUCAACCAUAUUCUAGUCGUGAGAACAUGGAAAGCGUAGAAUCGAUGCUCAUCGACAUUUCUACGUUGAGAGCUGCGACCGGGGGUUUCGCAGAGAGCAACAAGCUUGGCCAAGGCGGAUUUGGUGCGGUGUACAAGGGUACUCUCCCAGAUGGCGAUGAAAUAGCGGUGAAAAGGCUCGCCAAGAGUUCGACGCAAGGAGUUGGAGAGCUGACGAAUGAACUCCUUUUGGUCGCAAAGCUCCAGCACAAGAAUCUCGUGAGGCUUAUUGGCGUCUGCUUAGAGCAGGAGGAGAGACUGCUCGUUUACGAGUUAGUCCCCAACCGGAGCCUAGAUAAGAUCCUGUUCGACACCGAGAAGCGCGGUCAACUUGAUUGGGGAAAGAGGUACAAGAUCAUAAGCGGAGUCGCACGAGGCCUGCAGUACCUCCACGAAGACUCGCAGCUCAAAGUAGUCCACCGCGACCUUAAGGCGAGCAACAUCUUGCUUGACACCAACAUGAACCCCAAGAUUUCCGACUUCGGCAUGGCGAGGCUCUUCGGGGGAGACCAGACGCAGGGCAUCACCAGCCGUGUCGUCGGAACAUAUGGUUACAUGGCACCGGAGUACGUGAUGCGCGGGAACUACUCGGUCAAGUCUGACGUGUUCAGCUUCGGGGUCAUGGUUCUGGAGAUGGUGACGGGAAAGAAGAGCAACGACUGCUACACCUCCCGGCUGUCUGAAGAUCUGCUGACGCUUGUGUGGGAGCGCUGGACGGCCGGGUCGGUAUCGGGGCUGAUAGACCCGUGCUUGGGCGACAGCUUCUCCCGGACCGACGCGCUGCGGUGCAUCCACAUCGGGCUGCUGUGCACCCAGGGAGACCCGGCGGCCCGGCCGGCGAUGUCGUCGGUGGUCACGAUGCUCGGCAGCGACACGGUGUCUCUCCAGGCCCCGCCCAAGCCGGUCUUCUACGCCAGGAGAAGCUCGGCCACGUCCUCCAGCAUGUCCACGGCGUCAGCUUAG
RNAcentral lists this ribosomal RNA (1983 nucleotides) under Triticum aestivum (bread wheat). Its description in RNAcentral is "partial small subunit ribosomal RNA". The record is from RNAcentral. Lineage: Eukaryota; Viridiplantae; Streptophyta; Magnoliopsida; Poales; Poaceae.